Molecule: non-coding RNA, 3026 nt
Organism: Phascolarctos cinereus (koala)
Lineage: Eukaryota; Metazoa; Chordata; Mammalia; Diprotodontia; Phascolarctidae
Source: RefSeq, a predicted model, not a curated record
CCUUGGCUCCUAUGAAAAAAAGAAAACAAAUUCCUUUUUUAACAAAUAUGUACAGUCAAACAAAACAAAUUUCUUCAUUAGCUAUUUUCAAAAAAUACAUGUUUCAUUCUUCACCCUAAAUGUAUUACUUCUCUAUCAGGAUGUAGAUAGCAAGCUUUAUUAUCAGUCCUCUGAAAUUAUGGAAGCCAUUUCAUUGAUUGCUGUUCUUAUCGCUUUCAAAGAUGUUUGUUUGUAUAGUGGUGUUGUUAUUGUACAAAUUGUUCUCCAGGUUUGCCUCAUUUAAUUCUUCAUCAGGUUAGACAAGUCUUCAGAAUUCUUCAUUUUUAUAAAACUAAUGUUAUAGUAUCAAUUUUCCUUCCAGUCCUGGUCACUUCACUCAACAGUUUAUACAAAUUUAUACAGUUUAUACAAAUACUGUCAUGACUCUUUGAAUUAAUUUAUUUCCUCAUUUCGUACAGCACGAUAGUACACCAUUAAAUUCAUAUGCCAUAAUUUGUUCAGUUUUUUUUUAGUUUAGUUUUUUUUUUGCCACCAUAAAAAGGGUAUAAUGUAUUUUUGUAUACACAAGUCCUUUUCCUCUUUCUUUGUUCUCUUUUGGGUGCAGGCCUAGCAGAGUUUUGGUUGGGUCAAAGGGUGUUGAGGGCUUGCACUGAUGGGUUUGAGGAUAAAGGUCAUGUCAGGAUGUUCCUGUUCCUGUCCAUUAUCUAAGAGCCCUCUAGGUCAGAACAUAGCCUCUCCGACCUCUUCCAGGUGCUGUCUGUCCCUUGAGAGGAUGAAGGAUUUUUCAAUAAACCUUGAAAGAUAAUUGGGAAGCGAGGAGACGACUCCGGGGGGAUACUCCCCCCAGUUACUGUUACCAUGAGAAAAAUUAAUUGUUGAUAUUUGGUUUUUUCCACUCUUGAUUCUGUUCCCACGAAUGGGGUAUAAAAGCCCUAACUCUUAGAUCAAUAAACAGAGCUUGUUUAUAACUUGCUACCCCCUGGUCCGCAUUUUUUUUCUCUCUCCCUUUCUCUCUCUCUUUCUCUCCUUCUUUCUUUUUCACUCUUUUCAGCCUCACCAGAGAUUAAACUUCAUAGUGGACGCAGAAGUCUUCUACAGGUGGCGCCCAACGUGGGGCAAUUGGGAGCCUGAAAGAAUGGUUUGACCAAGGUGGGCUGCCUGCGGCCAGCAGCUCUGAUGAGGAGCGCUCCACCCGUUUGAAACAAGAUGGGAAAGGGGUCGCCGGAAAGUAGCGACUCCCGUUGUUUGAAAAAAGACAGCAAAAGGAUCACCGGAAGGGAAAAGAGGAGAUUCCUGCCAUUUGAAAAAAGACGGCAAACAAGAAAACUUUGAUAAACCUGCCUUGAUACUGGAGAAAAAUGUCAGAGCAUGUAUAACAACUCACAGCUUGAAUACAAAGUAUGAGAAUUCAGGGGAAGCACAGAAGGAGCCAAUCUACAGUAACGAGUUGCCUUCCCACAUAGAGGUCAAGUGAAAGCUCCCUCUCAUCAAGUGAUAAAAGACUCCUGAACUUGUAUUUUUAGCAAUAGUAGCUUUACUUUCUGCUCAAGUGUGUAAUGUACAGAAUACUCAGCACUGGUUGCAACCUAUCACAAAUAUGGACAAAUUGGGACUAUAUAUAUACUAAUAACACCUGUAUAUUCGGAAGACAAGAAGAUCCCUAUCUCCAGGACCAAGUCAAUGUUAUGAUUACCCUCAGAUCUCUAGCAUCCAGGACACUUAUAUGUUUUUCAAAAUUUAGUAACAAUAUUGAAUCAUGUCUUUUCUUUGUUACAUCAUUUGUUAAUACCUAUUUGUCUAAUGGAUAUGUAAAUUUUAUUCAAUCAAAUACUGUUUUUGAAUUGGAAUGUUACUUGUGUCAAUUGUACUCUCAAACAAUGUAUUGAUCAUAAUGACUAUAUUGUACUUUUGGUAAAACAAUAAUCAUUUAUUAUUUUCCCUACUAAUAUUUCACAUGAAUAGUUCCAGAACUCUAGAAAACAUGCUCCAAAAUUAUUAUUUCCUCCUUAAGUCAAUCAAAACAAUUUAUUGGUCUCCUUAUUAUUGGUUCAAUCAUUAUUGCUUCUUUUAUUGUAUCUACUACUGUUUUAUCUAUUGUGCUUCAAUCUAAAAUUUAAACUGCAUAAUUUGUAUAUUACUGACAAGUUUGAACUGCUCAGUAUGCUAACAAUUGGCCUACGAUUUUACAAUAUUAAAUUUAUGUAGAUACUAUGGUGCAACAAGAAUUGGAUCUUUUAGAACAAUCAGUAAUUGCAUUAGGUAAACAUAACAACAACUAGAAACACACUUCAAUUUGAAAUGUGAUUAUCGCUAUUCAUUUGUGUAACUCCAUAUAUGUAUUCAAACUUUACUAAUAUAACUAUUGAACAAAUAUUAAAUAAGCUCCAAGGUGCAUGGCACUCUGACAAUAUCACCUGGGACAUUAAUCAGCUAUCCAAAAUACAACAUGAAAUUGCUGAUUCUCGUAUUGAUGGUAUUGAUCCUAAAGAUAUUGCAAACAAAUUGUUAGAUUGGAUUAAUCAACUUAAUCCUUUUAAGAAUGUAUUAAGUUUGCUAUUACAUUUUUUACCUUGGCUAUGUUUUGUAUUAAUUUUGUUUCCUCCUUCCCUGCUUGUUAAAAUACACUCGCCAUACUUUAGGUGAGAUUUUUUUCAUCCCUUCAUCUUCUCAACUUAAACAGUCAGAGGGGGGAGAUUGCUGAGGGCUUGCACUGAUGGGUUUGAGGAUAAAGGUCAUGUCAGGAUGUUCCUGUUCCUGUCCAUUAUCUAAGAGCCCUCUAGGUCAGAACAUAGCCUCUCCGACCUCUUCCAGGUGCUGUCUGUCCCUUGAGAGGAUGAAGGAUUUUUCAAUAAACCUUGAAAGAUAAUCGGGAAGCGAGGAGAAGACUCUGGGGGGAUACUCCCCCCAGUUACUGUUACCAUGAGAAAAAUUAAUUGUUGAUACUUGGUUUUUUCCACUCUUGAUUCUGUUCCCACGAAUGGGGUAUAAAAGCCCUAACUCUUAGAUCAAUAAAUGGAGCUUGUUUA